Molecule: long non-coding RNA, 319 nt
Filed under: Phoenix dactylifera (date palm)
Lineage: Eukaryota; Viridiplantae; Streptophyta; Magnoliopsida; Arecales; Arecaceae
Description: long non-coding RNA (PDAC_LNC006563)
Source: RNAcentral
GGGAGGAUAUCAAAAGCGGAUGGAACUAGUUGGGGAGAAUAUGAGUCUCCAAUUUUGACUGAUGUCUCAUAAAGCUUCUAGAAAUGGGUUAAACCUUUGAAUCUAGCCAGCAAGCAUCAUUUAAAGGAAUUGACUUGCAUGUCGAGUUGUUUGGCAUGGCAUCCAUGAAUCUAAACUUCCAUCCUUGUCAUUUAAUGUGAAGUAACGUUUUGGUGGAUUAUGUUAUUGAAGGUGGUCUUAUUUGACAAGAAUUGACGGGGUUGUUGGCGGCUGUGACGCUUCAGACUCAGUAACUACAAAAAACUAAUUUGAUUUUUUU